AUGAAGAAAACGGCUUACCUACCAGAGCGAUUCCAACGAUUCUUCGACGUCUGCGAAAUUAUUGGAAACUCAGAUAUCCUCGCGUUUCUUCAGUUAGAAGUGCAGGGAAUUGGUUGGUUAAGUUAUGAAGCUAACUUGGGUGAAAGGUCGAAUUGGGUCCACACGGACAGUAAGUUGCAGUUUUUUCUGGGUAAGACUUAG
This is a non-coding RNA of Vicia faba (fava bean), 201 nucleotides long. The record is from the annotation of a GenBank genome assembly. NCBI's taxonomy places the organism in Eukaryota, Viridiplantae, Streptophyta, Magnoliopsida, Fabales, Fabaceae.